AUGCCCACAGGCCGCCUCAGGGGUACAGGAACCCCCGCCAUAAAGGUUUUGAAACCGCAUGAGCCACCCGAUGCCGGGCGGGAUCUCAAGUCGAUGAACUCAUAUCGGCGGCGACACCAAGAGCCAACAACGGCAUCAGCAUACUCCGAGAGAACGACACUCUCCGAACGGAACCGGAGAGAAAGAAGACGACCAGCAUCUCUUGAGAGGGAAUCAAACCUGCAGCUCAACCAAACACCUCCUACACUCCAGGACCCCACCUCCACGCCACCGAUGGAUACUUCGCCGGCGCAACAACAAAGAGGAGGGGGAGAUAGAUACUCACAUCGCCAGGACGGCGAAGCCGCCACACCGCCCUGCCUGAGAAUCCAAGAACUCGCGGGAUCUACAGAUCCGUGA
This 399-nucleotide ribosomal RNA is filed under the name Triticum aestivum (bread wheat). RNAcentral describes it as "partial small subunit ribosomal RNA". Lineage: Eukaryota; Viridiplantae; Streptophyta; Magnoliopsida; Poales; Poaceae. The record is from RNAcentral.